UACGUAGGUGGCAAGCGUUGUCCGGAUUUACUGGGCGUAAAGGGAGCGUAGGCGGAUUUUUAAGUGGGAUGUGAAAUCCCCGGGCUCAACCCGGGGGCUGCAUUCCAAACUGGAAAUCUAGAGUGUCGGAGAGGAAAGCAGAAUUCCUAGUGUAGCGGUGAAAUGCGUAGAGAUUAGGAAGAAUACCAGUGGCGAAGGCGGCUUUCUGGACGAUAACUGACGCUGAGGCUCGAAAGCGUGGGGAGCAAACAGGAUUAGAUACC
This 263-nucleotide ribosomal RNA is filed under the name uncultured bacterium. RNAcentral describes it as "partial 16S ribosomal RNA". It matches the Rfam family "Bacterial small subunit ribosomal RNA", at positions 524 to 786 of the family's 1533-position model. The record is from RNAcentral.